AGUGAACGCAGGCGGCAGGCCUAACACAUGCAAGUCGAACGGCAGCACAGCAGUAGCAAUACUGUGGGUGGCGAGUGGCGGACGGGUGAGGAAUACAUCGGAAUCUGCCUUAUCGUGGGGGAUAACGUAGGGAAACUUACGCUAAUACCGCAUACGACCUACGGGUGAAAGCGGAGGACCUUCGGGCUUCGCGCGAUAAGAUGAGCCGAUGUCGGAUUAGCUAGUUGGCGGGGUAAAGGCCCACCAAGGCGACGAUCCGUAGCUGGUCUGAGAGGAUGAUCAACCACACUGUAACUGAGACACGGUCCAGACUCCUACGGGAGGCAACAGUGGGGAAUAUUGGACAAUGGGCGCAAGCCUGAUCCAGCCAUGCCGCGUGGGUGAAGAAGGCCUUCGGGUUGUAAAGCCCUUUUGUCCGGAAAGAAAAGCACUGGGUUAAUACCCUGGUGUUCUGACGGUACCGGAAGAAUAAGCACCGGCUAACUUCGUGCCAGCCGCCGCGGUAA
Molecule: ribosomal RNA, 506 nt
Filed under: uncultured bacterium
Lineage: Bacteria
Description: partial 16S ribosomal RNA
Rfam family: Bacterial small subunit ribosomal RNA
Source: RNAcentral